CCUGGUCAAGAAGCUGUGAGCAUGGCUAGAAAGAGGCAGAUUUGGUGUAUGGGCCAUGGUGCAGAAAGUAGCAGAGAAUGGCUUGGAAGUUUCCAGUUGGAGGUGAUUGCAUGCCAUCCUCCCCAGUGCUUUUCACGAACAUUCCACCUCAUGGACAGGACCUCAGCACAUCCACAGAGAAACUGGUGCCUAUAGAUCUAGAUCUUCCCCGACCAGAAUUAGCUCUCCAUAGAUUGAGACUAGAAUCUGAUUUCAAAUCCAACCAUUGGGGGAUGAAGAUAAUUCCCAAUGAAGGAGAAGAAACACCAAGGAAAACAGUUCACAGAGGAAGAUAUCGGAAUUGAGCUUCCUGGGGGCCACUGUUGGGCUGAGGAGAUCACCCAGCAGUGACUGGACAUGCUCCCGCCGUGUUCUCACACAGCAUUUGACAGAGUGGUGCCUGUGCUGUCAGACAUUCAUGAACAUUUAGUGAUAUUUUGUAUGGUUGGGGUCAUUUAUUUGUUUGGAAAGUUAACCUUUGGGGAAACUUAAAGAUGGUUCUGGUUCUGGGGAAUCUUCCAAAUUGGAGACAGAAAGAUGGAAGAUGUGCUCAGCAUUCAAACUUUAUGGGAAAAAAAAUUUAUGAAAAACUUCAGCGGAGUGUUGAGGCAAAUGUUACGUGAGAUCUUGUAAUUGGCCUUGUUAAGGGGGGACCAAGCCUUUUACCUGGUGGCACAGGAUGGGGUUCCUUUGUGUUAAUUUCAGCAACAGUGGACCUUAUUUACUUUAGCAAUUGCCUUUGGUGUAAAACAACAAGUUGUAUUUACUUCUACUCAAUCAUAGAAUAUCCUUUUCCCCAAAGAUUCUCAGUAAGGGGCAGUGUCACUUGUGACCUUGGGGAGCUCUAAAGAGGUGGCAACCCAGAAGCACACUUCUGUACCCUGCAGCCUACAUGACUUGCCCCAGGGAGAGAAGGGCCAACCAACCCUCUGACCAUACAGUCCAACAGUAACUGAAAGUAAACGGUUCAGGGAAAAAUGCACAGAAGAGUUCCAGAUUUCUCUAAAGUAAAGCUAACUCCCUCGUGUUUCCAGAAUAUUUGUUAUUUAUUGAUUGAAAAUGUUUAAAGGACUUGAAUCAUUAGACUCAAUACUUUUAAGUGAUCUUAAAAGUCCAGCAUCCAGAUUAUCAUCUCAAACAAAUUAGGUGACAGUAUUUGCUUUUACUGCAUUUAAAAAAACAUUUGUAAAAUAUUCUUGAAUGAAUGAUAAAAAUGCAAAGCAUACUUGAUAUCCAGAUCUGGAAAUUUCAUAAGUUCAUUUGUAGUUAGUUAUACUUUCAAAGUGUAUUGAACCAACUGAAACUUUAUGAUAACCUAUAACACAGAAAGAAUAUUCAUAGCCUAGGGUUCCUAUUGUGGAUGUAUAAGAUAUAUGCCUCCACUUAUAUUAGGCAACCUGCAUAAAUCUGCCAGCUUUAACCAAAGAUAGUUCUUGAUUCCUGCAUUAGUUCAUCAUCUUACAGUUUGGGGAAGAUUAGAAAAUCAUCUGAAAGAAAAAAAAUGCACUUAGGAAAUUCACUACUUCUUUCUUUGAUUUUUAGGUAGUUUCCACAAAGAUACUGUGGGGUUUUUUUUUUUUCUUGCUUUGUUUUAUGUGGCUGUUUUUCUUACAAAACAAAUGAAUAAAUGUGGAACAAAGAGGAUGCUUUAACAAAACUGAGUUUCACCAACAUGUUUGGUUCUAAAAACAAACCUUCAACAUGCAAACCUUCAAAAAAUGAGUAAACAACUGCAUUCUUUGUAAAAAUGUGGGAUUUGCCUUCUUGCCACUCAUGGGAAUGAUUUUAGGCGAUGGCUUUCCAACAUGCAGAUUCCCAUGACACAAGGUCAAUGGGGCACUAAAGAGGAAGGCAAAGUACAGACCCUUCUCUGAGCCUUGGGCACCAUCUCAAGUUAAAUUUCCUCUGCCCUGGGCCUCUCUCAGUUGGCUCAUUUCUGACUCUCAGCCUCUCCUGCUAAAACUUGUCUAAAUCUCACAGCUCCUCUGGGUCACAUACUCAGUGAAAAAAAAUGCCAUCUGCACAUGUUGCUUCCCAUCUUCCUGAGGGAAGACACUGG
RNAcentral lists this long non-coding RNA (2098 nucleotides) under Marmota monax (woodchuck). The record is from RNAcentral. Lineage: Eukaryota; Metazoa; Chordata; Mammalia; Rodentia; Sciuridae.